This is an RNA transcript of Vitis riparia (riverbank grape), 2324 nucleotides long. It is a transcript of the gene named bifunctional dihydrofolate reductase-thymidylate synthase-like, with no coding region annotated. The transcript is spliced from 12 exons. The record is from RefSeq and is a predicted model, not a curated record. NCBI's taxonomy places the organism in Eukaryota, Viridiplantae, Streptophyta, Magnoliopsida, Vitales, Vitaceae.
GCGUCAACCGUGCUUUUGGAUUUUGUGUUUUCCGCCGAGCUACCUUUUUUUUCCUCUCUCUCUCUCUUCCCUCUCUCCUUCUCUUCUCUCUUGAGUCUUAACCAAAGUGCUUUUUUCUCUCCAUUUCUCAUUCUUCUUUCACCAACUUACUCUCCUAACUUUUCUCUUCCAAACCCUAGUGUCUUCACUCCAAUUCUCUUACUUCCUCAGAUCCACCAUCGCUGCUACAUUUUGGUUCAGAUUUCCUCCGGUUCUACUGCACUUUUGCAAAAGUUGGUUGUGCAGUCUCAGUUUUCAGUCAACAUCUUUAAGUCUUCAUUGGGUUCAGGAUUCAAUUAUGGCCAGUGACACUGUUGUGAGCCUUCCUAAUGGCAAUGCCAAUAUACAGCCUGAUCCACAGAGGACGUACCAAGUUGUUGUGGCUGCAACUCGAGAUAUGGGUAUUGGUAAGGAUGGGAAACUACCCUGGAGAUUGCCUUCUGACAUGAAAAUUUUCAAGGACAUUACUAUGACUGUGUCAGAUACGGUGAAAAAGAAUGCAGUUAUAAUGGGUAGAAAAACAUGGGAAAGUAUUCCUCUUGAGCAUCGGCCUCUGCCUGGCCGCCUAAAUGUUGUUCUGACUCGUUCUGGAAGUUUUGAUAUUGCAACUGCAGAGAAUGUUGUAAUAUGUGGAAGCAUGGCUUCUGCUUUGGAACUAUUAGCCGCAUCUCCCUAUUGUCUGUCCAUUGAAAAAGUGUUUGUUAUAGGAGGUGGCCAGAUACUAAGGGAAGCUCUCAAUGCACCUGGAUGUGAUGCUAUCCACAUUACAGAAAUUGAGACAAGCUUCGAAUGUGACACUUUCAUCCCUGCUAUUGAUUCCUUGGUAUUUCAGCCUUGGUACUCAUCCUUCCCAUUGGUGGAAAACAAUAUUCGUUAUUCUUUCAUGACUUAUGUUCGUGUGAGAAGUUCUGCAGACGAAUCCCAAAUCCAGAACAAUGGUGACAGUGGGUUGGAAUCCAUUAAAUUUGAUAUUAAGAAGUUCUCUUUCUUGCCCAAGAUGAUCUUUGAGAGGCAUGAGGAAUACAUCUAUCUGAGAUUGGUUGAAGACAUCAUCUUAAAUGGUGUUCAAAGGGAUGAUAGGACAGGGACUGGUACUUUAUCAAAGUUUGGUUGCCAGAUGCGGUUUAAUCUACGAAAAAUUUUUCCGCUUCUUACAACUAAGAAAGUAUUUUGGCGAGGGGUUGUUGAAGAACUACUGUGGUUCAUCAGUGGCUCAACAAAUGCUAAGGUCCUACAGGAAAAGGGAAUUCAUAUAUGGGAUGGCAAUGCAUCCAGGGACUACCUUGAUAGUAUUGGCUUGGCAGACAGGGAAGAGGGUGACUUGGGACCCAUAUAUGGGUUCCAGUGGAGGCACUUUGGUGCUAGCUAUAUUGACAUGCAUGCUGACUAUACUGGCCAAGGAUUUGAUCAGUUGUUAGAUGUUAUUAACAAGAUCAAGAAUAAUCCGAAUGAUCGACGGAUUAUCCUCUCAGCUUGGAAUCCUUCUGAUCUCAAAUUGAUGGCACUUCCACCCUGCCAUAUGUUUGCACAGUUCUAUGUAAGCCAUGGGGAGUUAUCAUGCCAAAUGUACCAGCGAUCUGCCGACAUGGGUCUUGGUGUGCCGUUUAACAUUGCAUCUUAUGCGCUCUUAACAUGCAUGAUCGCUCAUGUUUGUGACCUUGUUCCUGGUGAUUUCAUCCAUGUUAUUGGGGACUCUCAUGUUUAUCGGACUCAUAUCAGGCCUCUGCAGGAGCAGCUUCAGAAGCUUCCUAAACCUUUUCCAAUUUUGAAGAUCAAUCCACAGAAGAAGAACAUUGAUUCUUUUGUGGCAGCUGAUUUCCAACUCAUAGGUUAUGAUCCUCAUCAGAAAAUAGAGAUGAAAAUGGCGGUAUAGAGCUCCAAUCCAUUAAAGAAAACAUGGAGGCUCUUCCUCCCCUUUCAGGCUAUAUAUGCUUGUAGUUUUGAGGCACGGCUAAUGGAAGUUAAUGUUGAUAGUUAUAUACAAAUAAAAAACUCCUAGAGUUGGAUACACUUGAAGCUCUACAUAUGUAGUAACUGAGAAUCCUUUAGUUCCUCUUACAAAAUGUUGGUUCUAAGGUGAUUUAGGAUAUAUAUUUAUUUUCACUUUUUGGAAUCUGUGUUGUUUUGUCUGUUAUAAUUGCUGUUUUCAGUCACUACAAAUACCUUUCGAGCACUGUUGAGAAACAAAUGGGAACCUGAGAUGACCCAAUUUUUCAUCUUGAAGUGGUUAUCUAGUUGGUGGAACUAUUUCUAUUUUGUUGCUUAAAAGAAUUCCUUUGUAGCUU